This 345-nucleotide unclassified non-coding RNA is filed under the name soil metagenome. RNAcentral describes it as "partial contains 5.8S ribosomal RNA, internal transcribed spacer 2, and large subunit ribosomal RNA". The stretch from base 1 to 120 matches the Rfam family "5.8S ribosomal RNA", at positions 35 to 154 of the family's 154-position model. The record is from RNAcentral.
GAUGAAGAACGUAGCGAAAUGCGAUACGUAAUGUGAAUUGCAGAAUUCAGUGAAUCAUCGAGUCCUUGAACGCACAUUGCGCCCCCUGGUAUUCCGGGGGACAUGCCUGUCCGAGCGUCAUUGCUGCCCUCAAGCACGGCUUGUGUGUUGGGCCUCCGUCCUCCUCCCGGGGGACGGGCCCGAAAGGCAGCGGCGGCACCGCGUCCGGUCCUCGAGCGUAUGGGGCUUCGUCACCCGCUCUUGUAGGCCCGGCCGGCGCUUGCCGACACAUCAAUCUUUUUUCCAGGUUGACCUCGGAUCAGGUAGGGAUACCCGCUGAACUUAAGCAUAUCAAUAAGCGGAGGA